Molecule: transfer RNA, 74 nt
Filed under: Candidozyma auris
Lineage: Eukaryota; Fungi; Ascomycota; Pichiomycetes; Serinales; Metschnikowiaceae
Description: [Candida] auris tRNA-Thr
Rfam family: tRNA
About the family: Transfer RNA (tRNA) molecules are approximately 80 nucleotides in length. Their secondary structure includes four short double-helical elements and three loops (D, anti-codon, and T loops).
Source: RNAcentral
UGCCUCCUUAGCUUAGUGGUAGAGCGUUGCACUUGUAAUGCAAAGGUCGCUAGUUCAAUUCUGGCAGGGGGCAA